UCCGAGUUGACCCCGGCAGUCUCCUGUGAGUCCCCAUCACCCCGAAGGGCUGCCGUAUUUCUACGACAUUCCUGUGCAUGUCAAGCCUCGGUAAGGUUCUUCGCGUUGCGUCGAAUUGAACCACAUGCUCCGCUGCUUGUGCGGGCCCCCGUCAAUUCCUUUGAGUUUUAGCCUUGCGGCCGUACUCCCCAGGCGGGGUGCUUAAUGCGUUAGCUUCGGCACGGACGGAGUCGACACCGCCCACACCUAGCACCCAUCGUUUACAGCGUGGACUAC
This 276-nucleotide unclassified non-coding RNA is filed under the name uncultured Gaiellales bacterium. RNAcentral describes it as "contains 16S-23S intergenic spacer region". The record is from RNAcentral. Lineage: Bacteria; Bacillati; Actinomycetota; Thermoleophilia; Gaiellales.